RNAcentral lists this ribosomal RNA (117 nucleotides) under Aotus nancymaae (Ma's night monkey). The record is from RNAcentral. Lineage: Eukaryota; Metazoa; Chordata; Mammalia; Primates; Aotidae.
CUCAAAGGCCAUAACACCCUGAAGGUGCUCAAUCUCGUCUGAUCUUGGAAGCUAAGCAGUGUCGGGCCUGGUUAGCACUUGAAUGUGAGACCAUCUGGGAACCGGUUGCUGUAGGCU